RNAcentral lists this long non-coding RNA (1916 nucleotides) under Strongylocentrotus purpuratus (purple sea urchin). RNAcentral describes it as "uncharacterized LOC115925567". Lineage: Eukaryota; Metazoa; Echinodermata; Echinoidea; Camarodonta; Strongylocentrotidae. The record is from RNAcentral.
AUGUAAAAUUUAAAAAAUUUAAAUUACGUAUUUCCAAAGGCGAAAUUUACGGAAUUACUUUAUACGAGUUAUCCAAUUUUUAUCUCAGAACCAGGGAAACGGUAUGUUUAUGAAUUCAAACUGUAAUCUAUGACAAGACUCGGCCGGGUCAACUUGGCAAAUAAUUAAUUUUUUGAAAAUUUUCAUUUGUUUUCCAGCAAUAAAAAGUUGGAAGUUUCUCGCAGAAAUCCUGGCAUGACCUUUAGCUGCAUUCUGGUGAAGAGUGCUGUGUGAUCUGGUGGAGAUGACCUGAACUUGCUUUGUGCUGCAAUCUCUUGUACAUGUACCACCAGAUUCCAGGAAUGUGAUAACUCAACUUUACUUUCAUCAUAGAGGUGUUGUGGUCUAGUGGAUAAGUCAUCCGACUGCAGAUCACAAGGUACAGGGUUCAAGUUCUGCUGCAGCACUAAUGUCCUUUGGCGAGACGUUAAUCUACAUUUGUCACUCUCCACCCAGGUGUUAAAUGGGUACCCGGUAGGAUGCAAAAGUUAAUGUAGUUGGAUGAGCAAGUGUGCGUUUGUAAAAUGGGGACUGGGCGGAAUGCUCCCCAGGGAGUGAAGAACAUGCAUACAUUGUGUGCUGGCAAGCCUAAAUCAGAUGACUGGGUAAUGAUAUAUAUAUAUCUGUAAAGCACUUAGACACAUCGUUUUAUUGAUGUAUCAUGUGCUAUAUAAAAACAGAAUAUUAUUAUUAUUACACCUGUAAGAACAUCAAGAUUUCAAGGUUAAGAAUUUCAUAAUUAUAAAAGCAAAGUGAUGAAUGAAAAAUAUAAAAGAUUCAGCCUAAUUUAAUUGUCAAUAAAUUGAUGCAAAUGAAUGUAAAACCUUUCAGGAUUCUAUGGUUACACUGAUGGAGCAUGCUUACAUGUUGUAAUUAUGAUUCAUAUCCAAGAUAUUUUUAUUAUCUUUUGCUAUUUGCCCACUUUUGUAAAAUAGAAUAUUUCAAGCUACCACAUCUGGUUAAAGCUACAAUAGCUGACAGUUGGGCAAGGAUGUUCAAUUUGUUUUGGUGCCAAUGGGUGCCGGCUUAAUGUGCAUAUGUAUAGUGUUGGGUUCAUGAUCAUACAUCAUGUUGAGCCCUUACUGUGUUGAACAUUACCUCUUUAAGUGGUUAUUUAUAUUAGGUAUUGAAGAUCAGUACAAGUUCAAGGCAAAGUUACCAUAAGCGCAUUACAAAUUUAGUACAUUGACAAGGGGCAUUUAAUAACAAUUAGUGAACUGGCCGCAUUGUAUUAGAGAGUUUUUUUUAAUUGUGAUACUGUAUCUUAAACUUUUGAUGAAGGAAUAACGCACUGUAAAUACAAAUAAUUUCAAAAACAUAUCUUCACUGAAAAUAUAUGUGUGAAUAGUGUUACAUGGUUUCGUGAAAACCGUUGUUCUUGUGCAUUACCUAUUGGACAAUAUGAGGUAUAGUAUACCAGGUCAGAAGCUGAUUUGAACUGGAAAAGUUAUAACUUUCUGGCUUGUUAUUUCAGCUCACUGCUUGUGAAAUCAUGAACAUUGUUACCAGUUCACUUUAAUGCAGAUCUUUAUUUGACCUUUACUCAAAUCGUUUUGAAUCUCAUGAUAAUAUUAUGUAACUCGUGAUGAAUUCAUGAUAUAGCCCAAGAAAAUAAGUACACUGAAUGGCGCAUGAUUUGAAUUUAAUUUAUUUUAUUCAUUAAAUAUGUGUAACACUCGAAAAUUGUCCUAUUACUUCACCUAAAUAUAUAGGAUUAUGAUGUGUUUUAGAUUAGGUCACACUACAAUCGUCAGCGGUAUCAAUGCCACAGUUGUUAUUACUCAAAGAGUUGUAAUUUGUGAUAAUUGAUUAUUAAAUAAGCUUUGUCUAGUGUGUUUAAGAUUGAUGUCAAAUAAAGUUUGGAUGUGAAAAUAUAA